AUUCAUCCUGCACCCGACCGCCAGUCGUUUUUUCUCUCUCAACCGCAAAGCCAAACACCAAGCUCUACACAGCCACCGACAACGUCUGCGGAAAGGACCUUUUCUCGCCAGCUAUGGCCCCUCUCAACUGCAAUACGUCAAUAAUCGGUGUGUAUGCUUUUUCUUUUUCUUUUAAUUCAAGAGUGACCAAGACUAUCUGCAAUUGAAUUGCUUGAGCUUUAAAUUAAUUUUAUGCCACAGCUUUUGUGUAUAAAAAAUUAUAUUUUCACAUUGAAAAUAUUUAAUUUUUUGUCUUUCCUCCACUCAAUCACAUUGUUCUAUUAUAUAUCCUUCGGUAUGCUCUUGAUUUUUGUUUUUAGGGUUUCCGAGAAAGAUUAUAUGAAAUUUGCUUGGGCUUUGUGUGGUUUGGAAAAAAGAAAGUGUUGUUUUUAUUUUAUUUUUGUUGUUGUAAUUAGAGGAUACAUCUUAUGCCAGAAGAUUUAAUCAAUUUUUAAAGAUGAUUUUUCCGGCCAAGUUAUUUUGGUAUGUGCACGAUGGAUAGGGUUCAGGUAUUUAUUUGUUGAUGGGAUCAUGUAUAUUAUUCCUUCUAACUUCUUCGACAUCAUAACCCAUUCUCUUACCCUUUUUUUUUUUUGUUUUGUUUUUUUUGUUUUGUUUUGGCAUUUAACAAUGUAAUUGCAUGUAAACAGAUAGGAAGGCCGAAGAAUCAAAGACGGAACCAGAGACUACAAAACUAACGAAAGAAGAACUUCUCAAAGAACUUCAUAGCAAUUAUUAUUUUUAUUUGUUCCAGGGCCCUUACAUUCCCAAGGGUAUGUUUUGUGUGUGAGUGUGUGUGUGUGUGUGUGUGUGUGUGUGUGUGUGUGUGUGAAUAAAAGCGAUAGUCUAGCCUCCGCCUUCCUAAUUCUAUUGGGAUGCUCUCUAAUUUAGAGACAAGAAAGAAAAAUAUAUAUGCAUGGUUCUCUAUUUUAUGACAUAAUAUCUAUGCAGUUGUUGUUGUUCUAUGUCAUGUUUAAAACAACUUGUAAGUUAAAAAGAUGUUUUCCCUAGCUAAGUUAUUUUGGCGUUUGCAUCAAGCAUAACCAAUAUUUAAUAAUAUAGUUAUUUGUUGAUGGGAUCAUAGAUGUUAUUCCAAUAACUUCUUUGCAUUAUCACCUUUUUCUUUUUCUUUUGUAUUUUCACAAUGUAAUUGCAUGGAAACAGAGAGCAAGCCUAAAGAAUCACAGCCUAAAGAAGAAUCAGAGCAUGAAGAAUCAGAGAAUGAAGAAUCAGAGAAUUAUGAAUCAGAGACUGAUGAAUCAGAGGAUGAAGAAAUUGGUAUGCUUUUGGUUUUGAUUUUGAUUUUGAUUUUGAUUUUGAUUUUUUUUUUUUGAACAGAAGCAAUAGUCUAACUAUAUUAUUGGUAAGCUAUAGCCUCUUCUGUCCUAAUCUUAUUGGUAAGCUUGGAUUUUAGGGACAAAAAAGAUGUGCAUGCACCUUUUAUAUUUACAUUUUUUUUUUCUCUCUUAUGACAUAAUAUCUAUGUAUUUGUUGUUAUUUUAUGUAAUAUGCUUGUAAUACUGAUUUUUGGGUUUUAUCAUCUUCAUUCAUUUAUUGUCUUAAAAAAAGAUUAUUUUUAUUGUUUACAUUGUAUUUAACAAUGGAUCUACAAAUUGCACACAGGUGAAUGUAAGUAUUGUUUAAAGGUGGGUGACCACCAUACAGAACUAUGCUCUUACAUUGAUGAGGUCCCAGAGAACGCAAUUGUUGGUGAGAGUUGUGUGGUUACAUGUCUUGUAUGUGGCUGCUUCUUUAGAGACUCACGUUGUGCUAAUUGUGGCAUAACCCUAGGACGUGCACUCUUCAAGGAUUGUUUAAUAUGUGGGAAGCGAGGUGAACACAUGGAAUUUGAGUGCCCGGAACUCGAGCCGAAUCCUGAUUUUUCUUUCGACCCUUAUGUUCCUUCUAUUAUAGUCUAUAAUCGCCCUUAAUUGUAAACUAGAGUUGAAGCAAGGGAGAAAGAAGUGUUUUUUUUAUAUGUCGUUUGCCAUAAAUACCAUGCAUCCUAAUCUUUUGAUGUCUACAUCGUGUAUUGUUUUUGUCACAAAUGAAUUGCAAUUUGCAUAACAUGGUCUAUUAUAUUCUUAUGCUUGAACUAGUUUUUAUCUUAUGAUUUUGUUUUUCUCUUAUGGGUUCAGUAUACUUUAUGUUAUUCUAAA
Molecule: long non-coding RNA, 2198 nt
Filed under: Prunus dulcis (almond)
Lineage: Eukaryota; Viridiplantae; Streptophyta; Magnoliopsida; Rosales; Rosaceae
Description: sRNA ncRNA
Source: RNAcentral